GGGGAUGAAGUGUUGCAUGGUCGUACACGCGUGGUUGUCACCCACGAAUAUCGGGUUCGAAUCCCGGCAUCUCCA
Molecule: transfer RNA, 75 nt
Rfam family: tRNA
About the family: Transfer RNA (tRNA) molecules are approximately 80 nucleotides in length. Their secondary structure includes four short double-helical elements and three loops (D, anti-codon, and T loops).